Regulatory RNA element from Felis catus (domestic cat), 49 nucleotides. It matches the Rfam family "KRAS 3' UTR cis-regulatory element". From Rfam's summary of the family: AU-rich 49 nt fragment in KRAS 3'UTR. Its sequence but not the secondary is necessary and sufficient for reporter repression in HeLa cells. The record is from Rfam. NCBI's taxonomy places the organism in Eukaryota, Metazoa, Chordata, Mammalia, Carnivora, Felidae.
CCAAAAUAUUAUAUUUUUUCUAUAAAAAGGGAAAAAAAGGAAAAAAAUA